CUUAGUGGCGGACGGGUGAGUAACGCGUAGGGAUUUAUCGUUGGGUGGGGGACAACCCUGGGAAACUGGGGCUAAUACCGCAUGACGCCUGUGGGCCAAAGUCGCGAGGCGCCUGACGAGAAGCCUGCGUCCGAUUAGCUAGUUGGUGGGGUAAGGGCUUACCAAGGCAUCGAUCGGUAGCUGGUCUGAGAGGAUGAUCAGCCACACUGGGACUGAGACACGGCCCAG
This 228-nucleotide ribosomal RNA is filed under the name uncultured bacterium. Its description in RNAcentral is "partial 16S ribosomal RNA". It matches the Rfam family "Bacterial small subunit ribosomal RNA", at positions 91 to 334 of the family's 1533-position model. The record is from RNAcentral.